This 253-nucleotide ribosomal RNA is filed under the name uncultured bacterium. RNAcentral describes it as "partial 16S ribosomal RNA". It matches the Rfam family "Bacterial small subunit ribosomal RNA", at positions 524 to 776 of the family's 1533-position model. The record is from RNAcentral.
UACAUGGGGUGCAAACGUUGCUCGGAAUUAUUGGGCGUAAAGCGCACGUAGGCGGUUCGUUAAGUCGGAUGUGAAAGCCCUCGGCUCAACUGAGGAAGUGCACCCGAAACUGGCGAGCUUGAGUACGAAAGAGGAUCGCGGAAUUCCCGGUGUAGAGGUGAAAUUCGUAGAUAUCGGGAGGAACACCGGUGGCGAAGGCGGCGAUCUGGGUCGAUACUGACGCUGAGGUGCGAAAGCGUGGGGAUCAAACAGG